AAAUCAAGCGCAAAAGGGCAUCUGAUGGAUGCCUUGGCAUUAAGAGGCGAUGAAGGACGUGGUACGCUGCGAAAAGCCGUGGGGAGGUGCGAACACCCUUUGAUCCGCGGAUAUCCGAAUGGGGAAACCCACCACAAGUGUGGUACCUUGCACUGAAUACAUAGGUGUAAGGAGCAAACCUAGGGAACUGAAACAUCUAAGUACCUAGAGGAAAGGACAUCAACCGAGACUCCGUUAGUAGUGGCGAGCGAACGCGGACUAGCCCAGUGGCUUAUGUGUAAGAACUAGAAGGAGAUGGAAAGCUCCGCAACAAAGGGUGAUAGCCCCGUAUAGGUAGAAAGCAUAUAGGUCCUCGAGUAAGGCGGGACACGAGAAAUCCUGUCUGAACAUGGGGGGACCAUCCUCCAAGGCUAAGUACUCCUUAAUGACCGAUAGUGAACAAGUACCGUGAGGGAAAGGUGAAAAGAACCCCGAUGAGGGGAGUGAAAUAGACCUGAAAUCGGAUGCCUACAAACAGUCGGAGCAGACGUAUGGUUCGCCAUACAAACUGUGACGGCGUACCUUUUGCAUAAUGGGUCAGCGACUUAGUGUACGUAGCAAGCUUAAGCCGAUAGGUGUAGGCGUAGGGAAACCGAGUCUUAAUAGGGCGACCAAGUUACGUGCAUUAGACCCGAAACCGGGUGAUCUAUCCAUGGGCAGGUUGAAGGUGCGGUAACACGUACUGGAGGACCGAACCGACUACCGUUGAAAAGGUAGCGGAUGACCUGUGGAUAGGGGUGAAAGGCUAAUCAAACUCGGAAAUAGCUGGUUCUCCGCGAAAACUAUUGAGGUAGUGCGUCGAGCGAUUACUCCAGGGGGUAGAGCACUGGAUGGGCUAGGGGGAAGCGAUUCUUACCAAACCCAACCAAACUCCGAAUACCUGACAGUACAGCUCGGCAGACAGACGGUGGGUGCUAAGGUCCAUCGUCGAAAGGGAAACAGCCCUAACCGCCAUCUAAGGUCCCCAAGUCAUAGCUAAGUGGGAAAGGAUGUGGGACGACCAAGACAGCCAGGAGGUUGGCUUAGAAGCAGCCAUCCUUUAAAGAAAGCGUAACAGCUCACUGGUCUAGAUAAGUUAUCCUGCGCCGAAAAUGUAACGGGGCUAAAGUUAUGCACCGAAGAUGCGGGUUUGUUAGGUUAACUAACAAGCGGUAGCGGAGCGUUCCAUAAGCCUGUGAAGGCGUACUCGCGAGAGACGCUGGAGGUAUUGGAAGUGAGAAUGCUGACAUAAGUAACGAUAAACAGAGUGAAAGACUCUGUCGCCGUAAGUCCAAGGGUUCCUACGCAAUGUUAAUCAACGUAGGGUGAGUCGGCCCCUAAGGCGAGGACGAAAGUCGUAGUCGAUGGGAACACGGUUAAUAUUCCGUGACCUGUAAGAAGUGACGAAGGCCGUAAGUUGUAUCCCCUGAUCGGAUUGGAGGAUGCAGCGAAGGACUUCCAGGAAAUAACUCUUACGUAUAGACCGUACCCGAAACCGACACAGGUGGACGAGAUGAAUAUUCUAAGGCGCUUGAGAGAAUGGUGUUGAAGGAACUCGGCAAAUUGCUCCCGUAACUUUGGAAUAAGGGAGACCCACUUAAAGGCAACUUCUAGUGGGUGGCACAGAAUUGGGGGUAGCGACUGUUUAACAAAAACACAGGACUCUGCGAAGUCUCAUGACGACGUAUAGGGUCUGACGCCUGCCCGGUGCUGGAAGGUUAAAAGGAGGUGUGCAAGCACUGAAUUGAAGCCCCAGUAAACGGCGGCCGUAACUAUAACGGUCCUAAGGUAGCGAAAUUCCUUGUCGGGUAAGUUCCGACCUGCACGAAUGGCGUAACGAUUUCCCCACUGUCUCCAACACCAACUCAGUGAAAUUGGAUUCUCCGUGAAGAUACGGAGUUCCCGCGGUCAGACGGAAAGACCCCGUGCACCUUUACUACAGCUUUGCAGUGGUAUUAGGGACAACUUGUGUAGGAUAGGUGGGAGCCUUUGAAGCGAUUGCGCCAGCAGUCGUGGAGGCGUCCUUGAAAUACCACCCUGGUUGUCUUUGAUAUCUAACUGAGGUCAGUAAUCCUGAUCCAGGACCCUGCAUGGUGGGUAGUUUGACUGGGGCGGUCGCCUCCCAAAGAGUAACGGAGGCGCGCAAUGGUAGGCUCAGGUUGGUCGGAAAUCAACUGAUGAGUGCAAUGGCAUAAGCCUGCCUGACUGCGAGACAGACAAGUCGAGCAGAGACGAAAGUCGGUCAUAGUGAUCCGGUGGUUCCACAUGGAAGGGCCAUCGCUCAACGGAUAAAAGGUACGCCGGGGAUAACAGGCUGAUCUCCCCCAAGAGUCCACAUCGACGGGGAGGUUUGGCACCUCGAUGUCGGCUCAUCACAUCCUGGGGCUGAAGCAGGUCCCAAGGGUUCGGCUGUUCGCCGAUUAAAGUGGUACGUGAGCUGGGUUCAGAACGUCGUGAGACAGUUCGGUCCCUAUCUGCCGUGGGUGUACGAGACUUGAGAGAACUUGCCCCUAGUACGAGAGGACCGGGGUGAACGUACCUCUGGUGUAUCGGUUGUCGCGCCAGCGGCAUCGCCGAGUAGCUACAGUACGGACGAGAUAACUGCUGAAAGCAUCUAAGCAGGAAACUCAUCUCAAAACUAGGUCUCGCAAUUAGAGCCGUGGUAGACCACCACGUUGAUAGGGUUGAUGUGUAAGCGUGGUAACACGUUUAGCUAACAACUACUAAUCGCUCGAUUGGCUUGAUUUAC
This 2767-nucleotide ribosomal RNA is filed under the name Candidatus Odyssella acanthamoebae. Its description in RNAcentral is "bacterial LSU rRNA". It matches the Rfam family "Bacterial large subunit ribosomal RNA". The record is from RNAcentral. Lineage: Bacteria; Pseudomonadati; Pseudomonadota; Alphaproteobacteria; Holosporales; Candidatus Paracaedibacteraceae.